UACGUAGGGGUGCAAGCGUUGUCCGGAAUUAUUGGGCGUAAAGAGCUCGUAGGCGGUCUGUCGCGUCUGCUGUGAAAAACUCGGGGCUUAACCCCCGGGCCUGCAGUGGGUACGGGCAGACUAGAGUGCGGUAGGGGGAGACUGGAAUUCCUGGUGUAGCGGUGAAAUGCGCAGAUAUCAGGAGGAACACCGGUGGCGAAGGCGGGUCUCUGGGCCGUAACUGACGCUGAGGAGCGAAAGCAUGGGGAGCGAACAGG
RNAcentral lists this ribosomal RNA (257 nucleotides) under uncultured bacterium. Its description in RNAcentral is "partial 16S ribosomal RNA". It matches the Rfam family "Bacterial small subunit ribosomal RNA", at positions 524 to 776 of the family's 1533-position model. The record is from RNAcentral.